GACGAACGCUGGCGGCGUGCUUAACACAUGCAAGUCGAACGCUGAAGACCUGGCUUUUGUUGGGUUGGAUGAGUGGCGAACGGGUGAGUAACACGUGAGUAACCUGCCCUCUUCUUUGGGAUAACGCCCGGAAACGGGUGCUAAUACUGGAUAUUCACUGAUCUUCGCAUGGGGGUUGGUGGAAAGGUUUGUUCUGGUGGGGGAUGGGCUCGCGGCCUAUCAGCUUGUUGGUGGGGUGAUGGCCUACCAAGGCUUUGACGGGUAGCCGGCCUGAGAGGGUGACCGGUCACAUUGGGACUGAGAUACGGCCCAGACUCCUACGGGAGGCAGCAGUGGGGAAUAUUGCACAAUGGGCGAAAGCCUGAUGCAGCGACGCCGCGUGAGGGAUGGAGGCCUUCGGGUUGUAAACCUCUUUCGCUCAUGGUCAAGCCGCAACUGUGGGUUGUGGUGAGGGUCGUGGGUAAAGAAGCGCCGGCUAACUACGUG
This 486-nucleotide ribosomal RNA is filed under the name uncultured bacterium. RNAcentral's name for it is "partial 16S ribosomal RNA". It matches the Rfam family "Bacterial small subunit ribosomal RNA", at positions 28 to 507 of the family's 1533-position model. The record is from RNAcentral.